This 445-nucleotide ribosomal RNA is filed under the name uncultured bacterium. RNAcentral's name for it is "partial 16S ribosomal RNA". It matches the Rfam family "Bacterial small subunit ribosomal RNA", at positions 354 to 796 of the family's 1533-position model. The record is from RNAcentral.
GUGAGGAAUAUUGCGCAAUGGAGGCAACUUUGACGCAGCCAUGCCGCGUGCAGGAAGAAGGCGCUACGCGUUGUAAACUGCUUUUAACCGGGAAGAAACCCCAGGACGUGUCCUGGGUUGACGGUACCGGAGGAAUAAGCACCGGCUAACUUCGUGCCAGCAGCCGCGGUAAUACGAAGGGUGCAAGCGUUCUCCUGAUUCAUUGGGUUUAUAGGUUGCGUAUGCGGAGCGUUAAUUCAGUGGUGAAAUCCUGCAGCUUAACUGUAGACUUGCCAUUGAUACUGGCGCUCUUGAGUGCGCUUGAAGUGGGCGGAAUGUGCCGUGUAGCGGUGAAAUGCUUAGAUAUGGCACAGAACACCAAUUGCGAAGGCAGCUCACUAAGGCGAUACUGACGCUGAGGCACGAAAGCGUGGGGAUCGAACAGGAUUAGAAACCCGGGUAGUCC